AGCGAACGUUAGCGGCGGGCCUAACACAUGCAAGUCGAACGCGAAAGGUCUUCGGACUGAUUAGAGUGGCGCACGGGUGAGUAACACGUAGGUAAUCUACCCUUUGGCGGGGGAUAACGUUCCGAAAGGAGCGCUAAUACCGCAUAAGACCACGGAGUCUCCGGACGCUGUGGGAAAAGGUGGCCUCUUCUUGAAAGCUAUCACCGGAGGAUGAGCCUGCGUCCCAUCAGCUAGUUGGUAAGGUAAUGGCUUACCAAGGCAAAGACGGGUAGCUGGUUUGAGAGAAUGAUCAGCCACACUGGCACUGGAACACGGGCCAGACUCCUACGGGAGGCAGCAGUGAGGAAUAUUGGGCAAUGGGCGAAAGCCUGACCCAGCCACGCCGCGUGAGUGAUGAAGGCCCUCGGGUCGUAAAGCUCUGUGGAGAGGGACGAAAAACCGUGGGGUCUAAUAGGCCCGGACUUGACGGUACCUCUUUAGCAAGCACCGGCUAACUCUGUGCCAGCAGCCGCGGUAA
Molecule: ribosomal RNA, 517 nt
Filed under: uncultured bacterium
Lineage: Bacteria
Description: bacterial SSU rRNA
Rfam family: Bacterial small subunit ribosomal RNA
Source: RNAcentral